AUACGGAGGGUGCGAGCGUUACCCGGAAUUACAGGGCUUAAAGGGUCCGUAGGCGGGUUCGUGCGUCGGUCGUGAAAGGCUCGGGCUUAACCUGGGUUGGUCGGCCGAUACGGUGGAUCUUGAGUCACGUCGGCGCUGGGGGAAUUCCCGGUGUAGCGGUGAAAUGCGUAGAAGUCGGGAGGAACGUCGAUCGCGAAGGCACCUAGCGAGGCGUGUACUGACGCUGAGGGACGAAGGCUGGGGGAGCGAACCGGAUUAGAAACCCUUGUAGUCC
This 274-nucleotide ribosomal RNA is filed under the name uncultured bacterium. RNAcentral's name for it is "partial 16S ribosomal RNA". It matches the Rfam family "Bacterial small subunit ribosomal RNA", at positions 523 to 796 of the family's 1533-position model. The record is from RNAcentral.